GUACACUCCUGCGGGAGGCAGCAGUGGGGAAUUUUGGACAAUGGGGGCAACCCUGAUCCAGCAAUGCCGCGUGAGUGAAGAAGGCCUUCGGGUUGUAAAGCUCUUUUGUCAGGGAAGAAACGGUGGUGGCGAAUAACUACUACUAAUGACGGUACCUGAAGAAUAAGCACCGGCUAGCUACGUGCCAGCAGCCGCGGUAAUACGUAGGGUGCAAGCGUUAAUCGGAAUUACUGGGCGUAAAGCGUGCGCAGGCGGUUGUGUAAGUCAGAUGUGAAAUCCCCGGGCUCAACCUGGGAAUUGCAUUUGAGACUGCACGGCUAGAGUGUGUCAGAGGGGGGUAGAAUUCCACGUGUAGCAGUGAAAUGCGUAGAUAUGUGGAGGAAUACCGAUGGCGAAGGCAGCCCCCUGGGAUAACACUGACGCUCAUGCACGAAAGCGUGGGGAGCAAACAGGAUUAGAAACCCGAGUAGUCCCA
This 475-nucleotide ribosomal RNA is filed under the name uncultured organism. Its description in RNAcentral is "partial 16S ribosomal RNA". It matches the Rfam family "Bacterial small subunit ribosomal RNA", at positions 331 to 797 of the family's 1533-position model. The record is from RNAcentral.